Dermacentor silvarum is the source of this 787-nucleotide long non-coding RNA. RefSeq lists it as uncharacterized. The transcript has 3 exons. The record is from RefSeq and is a predicted model, not a curated record. NCBI's taxonomy places the organism in Eukaryota, Metazoa, Arthropoda, Arachnida, Ixodida, Ixodidae.
AGCGCGAAGACGGAGCUCCCGUACCUGCGCUGCAACAAGCGAAGAAGCGCAGCUCGCGGAGGAUUUCCGAAAUCAGUUAACGGUAGCGUCCGCAGGAUUUGACACUUAAUCAUGGACGACCUUUCCGUUAUGGCGUGCGUUUGGCGUCGGACAUCAGUGAAAAGCGAAGGCUUUUUCUAAGUAUAGCCUCCAUUUCUUUCUUAAGUGUGAUACAUAUUUACCAUUAGUUUGGUUGUGUUUAAUUCCUGCAGGGCAUAUUACGAUGGAGCGCUGAAAUGGGAGUGCUUGUGAGUAUCGUUCGAGUAGUACGCUCGAGAGAUUGCCACUCGGUAAGAAAACUUUAAAGCUCGUUUCUUUAUUUUUUCAGGUGGGGAUAUAUGAUAAAUAAUUUACAGAUUUUGCUACGGCCACUGCUCCAGGCAACGUUGGAACUCUGCUGGGCCCUGGCAAAACUAUCUUCAUUUUUCCUUGAUGCUGUUCACAAACACGAAUGGACUGCUCAGAUGUUUGUCUGUAACUUUCGUUCGGACAGAUUUUCAAGAAAUCUCACGGACAUACAGUGCUAUUCUGCUUGUUCAGGUGGAUUACCUCAAGUGGCAGACAUUAUUUUCACGAGAAAUACCAGUGUCCAGGUAGGGAAUCCAAACUAUUCAAUAGUUAACUUCGAACGUUUUCAUUAUAAGACACACAUUGAAAUCGUGAAAUUGAAACCGAAAAGUAGUGAAGUCUAUCAAUCACCUUGCACCUAUUGACUAGCACCAGUAUUGAAAUAUACAUCGCUAAAAUU